RNAcentral lists this ribosomal RNA (476 nucleotides) under uncultured bacterium. Its description in RNAcentral is "bacterial SSU rRNA". It matches the Rfam family "Bacterial small subunit ribosomal RNA", at positions 1 to 522 of the family's 1533-position model. The record is from RNAcentral.
UGGGCCCGAGUUUGAUCAUGGCUCAGAGCGAACGCUGGCGGCAGGCCUAACACAUGCAAGUCGAGCGGCCGUAGCAAUACGGCAGCGGCAGACGGGAGAGUAACACGUGGGAACGUGCCCUUUAGUUCGGAAUAACGCAGGGAAACUUGCGCUAAUACCGGAUAAGCCCUUACGGGGAAAGAUUUAUCGCCAUUGGAGCGGCCCGCGUCUGAUUAGCUAGUUGGUGAGGUAACGGCUCACCAAGGCUACGAUCAGUAGCUGGUCUGAGAGGAUGAUCAGCCUCACUGGGACUGAGACACGGCCCAGACUCCUACGGGAGGCAGCAGUGGGGAAUAUUGGACAAUGGGCGCAAGCCUGAUCCAGCCAUGCCGCGUGGAUGAUGAAGGCCUUAGGGUUGUAAAGUCCUUUUAGCGGGGAAGAUAAUGACGGUACCCGCAGAAAAAGCCCCGGCUAACUACGUGCCAGCAGCCGCGGUG